AGCCAAACCAGAAGAGAAGAGAAACCAAGGAAGAACAAACCCUAGGUGGGAAAAAUCAAAGAGAAAGUGUUAGAAUUCAAGGAUUUGAUCAAGCAAAGGUAAAAUUUCUUUGAUUUUGCUAGUGAUUUACCUUAUCCAUGCAUUUUCCCUUAAUUUCCAUAGUUGAAAAACAUGUUUUCAUGAUGAAUUCAUGGCUGGUUGGAAUGGGUAUGGAGAGAGAAUGAUGUUAGAUUGAUAUGAUUCUAAGUUAUGUUAGUGUUUUUAGUUAGUUAAACAUGUUUAGAAACAAAACAACAAGAAAAGAAUCCAUUUUCCCCAUGAACCUUCAAUGGUCGAACCCUAUGUGAAGUGUAGAAGUAAUGAAUUGAUUUUGUGAUCAAGUGAAUCGAUUGAAAAAUUGAUGAAAUGAUGAUUUAUGGUGAGAAAAUGGAAUGGAAAAAUUUUUAGUGGUAGUGCACCACAAUGGCCAAAAUGUUCAAGAAGAAUUGUGAGGGUUAUUAGGCUGAAUUUUAGAUUAUUGGAAUUGUAUUUAGUGAAUUGAAAUAUUAGAAAUGAAAUGGAGCAAUUUGGAGCCAAAUCGGACACAAUUGUCAUUUAAUCGGGUAAUAGGUCGAAUUAUGUCAGUACCGCAUUUAAGCGGUAGUCGGAUAAGUUGCAUAUCAUAUCAUGCAUAUACACCGAGCCUAAAUUGAUUUUAUAAUGGUCAAGCAUUGAUAUGGUGAAUUAUGUAUUGUACAUUAUGGAUAGGUGGUGAGUAAAUUACAUUGGUAAAAGUACAUAGAUUGUGCUUGGAGAUUAGGAUUAGGAGUAUAUCGACUCCUAGAACUGUGAGUAAACUUAUUAUCGUCUUAAUUAUCUAGAGUAGUUUUAUACAAUUGUGUGAUUUUAUAAAAAAUGGGUUUAAAUGGUAAAUUGCUAUGUUUUAUGAGAAAUUGUGAUUUUAUAAAAUGAUUUUAUAAAUUUUCUAAAAAAUUGAAUACUGGUUUGAAAAUAGAGUAAUUGGAGACUGCCUGCUUGUGUUGUAAAUUUCUGGUUUUAAAUUGAAUGGCUUAUGACAAUAAAUGAGUAUGAAUGGCUAAACUGAUUUUUGGUGUUAGAAUUAUUUGUACUGUGUAUUCAGCCUUGAGAGGUUAGGUUGCGAUAAAUUGCCAUGUCAUGCAGAAAAAGAUUUUAUAAAUCAGGUGAUAGAUAAAAUAAUCCAUAGUCACUACAGUGGUGGGAGUUUCCAUGGACUGCCUAUGAGAGGGGCAUGGUAACUCAAUUAUAUAUUUGCCUCCGGGGGAAGAUGAUGGAUGAAGUAUCUCUUGAGGUAAAGAUUCGAGUGCACUUCAUGUGGACCACUGCGUGAGAGUGAGACUCAGCCAACACCAAGGCAUGGCUAAAAUUUCGGAUGUAAAGACAUUUAACAGCCUUGGCAAACUCGGUUGGGAUAACCCUCGAUCAAGGUAUCCCUGAUAACUGAGUAUGAGAAUGAUUUUUGACACGAGCCAAGCUUUUCAGGAAAUCAUAAGCCUAGUUGUUUAUUUGGUUGAAAUGAGUUGAAAGGUAAUGAAAUUACAAUAUGAUGACUUAUUUUAAUUCGUCUCUAUUUACUCGCCUUUAGAUAGUUUAGAUGGUGUCUGUUUACUCACUGGGAUUUUAUAAUCUCACCACCCUCAUUUCCUCACAUUUCAGGCUCGGGGAAUUCCAUAGUUAGCUGACUUUGACAAGGACCUUCAUUUGGACUUGAAUCGGCAAAAGCUGUAGGUUUUUAGCUUUCGAUACAUUUUGGUUAGACGUGGGCCCACGUGUCAUUGUAAAA
Molecule: long non-coding RNA, 1801 nt
Filed under: Theobroma cacao (cacao)
Lineage: Eukaryota; Viridiplantae; Streptophyta; Magnoliopsida; Malvales; Malvaceae
Description: long non-coding RNA (TCAC_LNC005262)
Source: RNAcentral